GACGAACGCUGGCGGCGUGCCUAAUACAUGCAAGUCGAACGCUUCUUUCCUCCCGAGUGCUUGCACUCAAUUGGAAAGAGGAGUGGCGGACGGGUGAGUAACACGUGGGUAACCUACCCAUCAGAGGGGGAUAACACUUGGAAACAGGUGCUAAUACCGCAUAACAGUUUAUGCCGCAUGGCAUAAGAGUGAAAGGCGCUUUCGGGUGUCGCUGAUGGAUGGACCCGCGGUGCAUUAGCUAGUUGGUGAGGUAACGGCUCACCAAGGCCACGAUGCAUAGCCGACCUGAGAGGGUGAUCGGCCACACUGGGACUGAGACACGGCCCAGACUCCUACGGGAGGCAGCAGUAGGGAAUCUUCGGCAAUGGACGAAAGUCUGACCGAGAACGCCGCGUGAGUGAAGAAGGUUUUCGGAUCGUAAAACUCUGUUGUUAGAGAAGAACAAGGACGUUAGUAACUGAACGUCCCCUGACGGUAUCUAACCAGAAAGCCACGGCUAACUACGUG
Molecule: ribosomal RNA, 507 nt
Filed under: uncultured bacterium
Lineage: Bacteria
Description: partial 16S ribosomal RNA
Rfam family: Bacterial small subunit ribosomal RNA
Source: RNAcentral